RNA transcript from Nomascus leucogenys (northern white-cheeked gibbon), 754 nucleotides. It is a transcript of the gene named glutathione S-transferase Mu 5 pseudogene, with no coding region annotated. NCBI's taxonomy places the organism in Eukaryota, Metazoa, Chordata, Mammalia, Primates, Hylobatidae. The record is from RefSeq and is a predicted model, not a curated record. The transcript has a single exon.
UUUCCCCCUUGCUGUUCUCGUGAUAGUGAGUGAGUUCUCAUGAGAUCUGGUUGUUUAAAAGUGUGUAGCACCGGUCUGCAGAAUCUGCACCAACGAGAACCAUGCCCAUGACACUGGGGUAUGGGGACAUUCACGGGCUGGCACAUGCCAUCCGCCUGCUCCUUGAAUACACAGACUCAAGCUACAAGGAAAAGAAGUACACGAUGGGGGACUCUCCUGACUAUGACAGAAGCCAGUAGCUGAAUGAAAAAUUCAAGCUGGGCCUGGACUUUCCCAAUCUGCCCUACUUGUUUGAUGGGGCUCACAAGAUCACCCAGAGCAAUGACAUCCUGUGCCACAUUGCCCGCAAGAACAACCUGUGUGAGGAGACAGAAGAGGAGAAGAUUUGUGUGGACAUUUCAGAGAACCAGACUGUAGACAACCUGAUGCAGCUGGCCAUGAUCUGCUAUAUCCCAGAAUUUGAGAAACUGAAGCCAAAGUACCUGGAGGAACUCCCUGAAAAGCUAAAGCUCUACUCACAGUUUCUGGGGAAGUGGCCAUGGUUUGCAGGAGACAAGAUCACCUUUGUGGAUUUCCUUGCCUAUGACAUCCUUGACCUGAACUGUAUAUUUGACCCCAGCUGCCUGGACGCCUUCCCAAACCUGAAGGACUUCAUCUCCCGAAUUGAGGGUUUGAAGAAGAUCUCUGCCUACAUGAAGUCCAGCCAAUGCCUCCGAGGUCCUUUGGGAAGUCAGCUACGUGGAACAGCAAAUAG